RNAcentral lists this ribosomal RNA (549 nucleotides) under uncultured Glomus. RNAcentral describes it as "SSU rRNA". It matches the Rfam family "Eukaryotic small subunit ribosomal RNA", at positions 548 to 1098 of the family's 1831-position model. The record is from RNAcentral. Lineage: Eukaryota; Fungi; Glomeromycota; Glomeromycetes; Glomerales; Glomeraceae.
UUGGAGGGCAAGUCUGGUGCCAGCAGCCGCGGUAAUUCCAGCUCCAAUAGCGUAUAUUAAAGUUGUUGCAGUUAAAAAGCUCGUAGUUGAAUUUCGGGAUCAAUAUAUCGGUCGUGCCAUCGGUACGUACUGGUAUGAUUGGUUUCUCCUUUCCGACGAACCAUGAUGUCAUUAAUUUGGUGUUAUGGGAAGUUAGGACUGUUACUUUGAAAAAAUUAGAGUGUUUAAAGCAGGCUUUAGCUUGAAUACAUUAGCAUGGAAUAAUGAAAUAGGACGUUCGAACCUAUUUUGUUGGUUUCUAGGAUCAACGUAAUGAUUAAUAGGGAUAGUUGGGGGCAUUAGUAUUCAAUUGUCAGAGGUGAAAUUCUUGGAUUUAUUGAAGACUAACUACUGCGAAAGCAUUUGCCAAGGAUGUUUUCAUUAAUCAAGAACGAAAGUUAGGGGAUCGAAGACGAUCAGAUACCGUCGUAGUCUUAACCAUAAACUAUACCGACUAGGGAUCGGAUGAUGUUAAUUUUUUAAUGACUCAUUCGGCGCCUUACGGGAAAC